UCUCCUGGAAAACGGGUGGUAAUGCCGGAUGCUCCGACUCCUCGCAUGGGGUGUCGGGAAAGAUUUCAUCGGUAUGGGAUGGGGUCGCGUCCUAUCAGGUAGUCGGCGGGGUAACGGCCCACCGAGCCUACGACGGGUAGCCGGCCUGAGAGGGCGACCGGCCACAUUGGGACUGAGAUACGGCCCAGACUCCUACGGGAGGCAGCAGUGGGGAAUAUUGCACAAUGGGCGCAAGCCUGAUGCAGCGACGCCGCGUGCGGGAUGACGGCCUUCGGGUUGUAAACCGCUUUUGAUCGGGAGCAAGCCUUCGGGUGAGUGUACCUUUCGAAUAAGCACCGGCUAACUACGUGCCAGCAGCCGCGGUAAUACGUAGGGUGCAAGCGUUAUCCGGAAUUAUUGGGCGUAAAGGGCUCGUAGGCGGUUCGUCGCGUCCGGUGUGAAAGUCCAUCGCUUAACGGUGGAUCUGCGCCGGGUACGGGCGGGCUGGAGUGCGGUAGGGGAGACUGGAAUUCCCGGUGUAACGGUGGAAUGUGUAGAUAUCGGAAAAAAAACACCA
Molecule: ribosomal RNA, 556 nt
Filed under: Bifidobacterium pseudocatenulatum
Lineage: Bacteria; Bacillati; Actinomycetota; Actinomycetes; Bifidobacteriales; Bifidobacteriaceae
Description: bacterial SSU rRNA
Rfam family: Bacterial small subunit ribosomal RNA
Source: RNAcentral